Molecule: ribosomal RNA, 490 nt
Filed under: uncultured bacterium
Lineage: Bacteria
Description: partial 16S ribosomal RNA
Rfam family: Bacterial small subunit ribosomal RNA
Source: RNAcentral
GAUGAACGCUAGCUACAGGCUUAACACAUGCAAGUCGCGGGGCAGCAUGGGGGUUGCUUGCAAUCCCCGAUGGCGUCCGGCGCACGGGUGAGUAACGCGUAUUCAACCUGCCCUUCACCACGGGAUAACCCGGCGAAAGUCGGACUAAUACCGUAUGUUGUCCAUUGACGGCAUCCGAUUUGGACGAAAGGCUUGGCGGUGAGGGAUGGGGAUGCGUCCGAUUAGCCAGACGGCGGGGUAACGGCCCACCGUGGCUACGAUCGGUAGGGGUUCUGAGAGGAAGGUCCCCCACACUGGAACUGAGACACGGUCCAGACUCCUACGGGAGGCAGCAGUGAGGAAUAUUGGUCAAUGGGCGUAAGCCUGAACCAGCCAAGUAGCGUGCAGGAUGACGGCCCUAUGGGUUGUAAACUGCUUUUAUGCGGGGAUAAAGUGGCCCACGUGUGGGCUUUUGCAGGUACCGCAUGAAUAAGGACCGGCUAAUUCCGUG